Molecule: ribosomal RNA, 253 nt
Filed under: uncultured Eubacteriales bacterium
Lineage: Bacteria; Bacillati; Bacillota; Clostridia; Eubacteriales
Description: uncultured Clostridiales bacterium partial 16S ribosomal RNA
Rfam family: Bacterial small subunit ribosomal RNA
Source: RNAcentral
UACGUAGGGGGCAAGCGUUAUCCGGAUUUACUGGGUGUAAAGGGAGCGUAGACGGUGAUGCAAGUCAGAAGUGAAAGCCCGGGGCCCAACCCCGGGACUGCUUUGGAAACUGUGUAACUGGAGUACAGGAGGGGCAGGCGGAAUUCCUGGUGUAGGGGUAAAAUCCGUAGAGAUCAAGAGGAAUACUCAUUGCGAAGGCGACCUGCUAGAACAUAACUGACGCUGAUGCGCGAAAGCGUGGGGAGCAAACAGG